Molecule: ribosomal RNA, 222 nt
Filed under: uncultured Bacillota bacterium
Lineage: Bacteria; Bacillati; Bacillota
Description: uncultured Firmicutes bacterium partial 16S ribosomal RNA
Rfam family: Bacterial small subunit ribosomal RNA
Source: RNAcentral
AACGCGUGAGUAACCUGCCUCAUACAGGGGAAUAACAGUUAGAAAUGACUGCUAAUGCCGCAUAAGCGCACAGGGCCGCAUGGCCCGGUGUGAAAAACUCCGGUGGUAUGAGAUGGACUCGCGUCUGAUUAGCUAGUUGGCAGGGUAACGGCCUACCAAGGCGACGAUCAGUAGCCGGCCUGAGAGGUUGAACGGCCACAUUGGGACUGAGACACGGCCCAG